UUUUUAUGAUUUUUGUGCACGUGUGAAAAAAUAAAAUGCCUAGGGUUUGAUUGAAUGUGUUCAUUUUGUAUAUGCUUUGCCAUUUCACUUAUAAAAUGAUGAUGCUUCCAUAGAAAUGCUUGAAACUUUUUGUGCUUAUUCUUGACUCUAUGCUGGUGAUUUUGGUAUGUAGUUUGUAAUUUUUGGAUCCCUGGUUGAUGAGAUAUGAAUUUUUGAAUAAGAGGUGUGACAAUUUGUGUCACACCAUGCUUGAUGAAUUUCAUGAUUUUAUUUGAUGUGCUUGUGAACAUUGGAUUGAGUCAAAUUUUUGCAUGAUUGAGCAUAUGUAUGUUGAGAAUACAUGAAACUUUUUCUGGAUUUAUUGAUGGCAUUUCCUAUUUGAUUGGGAUUUUUC
Molecule: long non-coding RNA, 394 nt
Filed under: Lathyrus oleraceus (garden pea)
Lineage: Eukaryota; Viridiplantae; Streptophyta; Magnoliopsida; Fabales; Fabaceae
Description: Pisum sativum (pea) long non-coding RNA (PSAT_LNC015989)
Source: RNAcentral